This is a non-coding RNA of Rattus norvegicus (Norway rat), 7845 nucleotides long. The record is from RefSeq and is a predicted model, not a curated record. Lineage: Eukaryota; Metazoa; Chordata; Mammalia; Rodentia; Muridae.
AUAUAUAUAUGUGUGUGUGUGUGUGUGUAUGCACACAAAAUUCAUUUUAAAAUCCUUUAGAGCAUUAGAUAUCUUACCUUAACAGCUUUAUAUUAGGAGAAAUUUGAGGUACUUAUCUUUCAAGCUGGAAACCAAGGUCACUCUGGCUGUUUUCUCACCUAUAACCUGGAAAUUAAUGGUAGCAUUUUGCACAGAGGGGUAUCUUGAAAUUUAAAUGAGAGUAAUUAUAGCAUCCUAUGUAAAUAUUUGCCACAUGUUAUGAUUUCAAUAUGUUUGGAAUAUUGUUUUCAUUUAAAUUUACCCAGGCCUUUUCGAACACGUGUUUUUUAGUGGUUUUCAUCAGCAAAAUGAAAAUAGUUUCUACCACCUGGUGAAAAGUCUUCUUGCCUGCAGAAUCCUGUGCCCUUUUGAGGAGUUUGUCAUUCAGAAACAUAGUUUUGCCUUUGAAGUGAAUUACAGCAAAUCCAUAGCAUAUACCCUGCUGUAUCACAUCAAGUGUUCAGAAGUCUGGGAAUACACACCCUUUAUGGCAGUGUCUCCCCUCUGCCUGUAUCCCACCUUUGCCUUCACUUUUGUAUUCAAAGAACUGCCAAACUACAGCUCCUUGGUAAGUACGAGGCACCGAUUUUUCUUACCUAUUUAUCCUGUGCUAACGCUCUGAAAAGAUUUGAGCUGGAUCACAGAAAGGGAUUGCAUCUUAUAAAUUAUCUUCAAAAAAGUCACAAAGUUAAAGGAAAUAAGAGGAAGGAAAGCUAUCUCAAAGUUUUACAAAGAUUUCUGUUUCUCAUAACUAAGAAUUUUUCAUGCAGUUAAUUCAGAAUAUUUUACAGCCUUCCAAUUAAUAAUCAUAAAACAUUUCCCAUGGAAGUAAUAAGAAUGGGAUAUGUCAGCAUAUAUAUAUAUAUAUAUAUAUAUAUUAUAAUGUCCUGGUCCAAGGUCACCCUUUCCCCCAAACACACACAGUAUUUUUUGAAAAUAUAUUCCAUUUUCCUGUCCUUUUCAAAUUAUUUCAUGUUUUAACUCAAUAAGCGAGAAUAGAUUUAAUAGUAAAAUACAUUUAUUGAUCCAAAUGAAAGCAAAAAGGAGGCAAAGAUCUGCUAAUGUGCAUAAAAUAUUUUCACCUGUAGUUAGGACCCAGAAAUAAUUUCUAAAUGUUUUCCAUUUGGUAUUGUAAGUUAGUCACUUUUAUAUCUUCACGAUGUUUUUGGCAAUGAUAGAAAAUUGCUGUCUACAUUUGAUCAGGUCAACCGUGAAUUAAUGAAACAGCAAGUUACAGCAACAUUUUGGUCGCUUCUAAUAUUUUAACAUUAUGUACAAUAAUCAUGAGUCUAAUAUUCCCAUCUUUUUUAUUUUGUUCAACUUUCAUAAAUGACAUGACCAAUUGUAACAAAAAACACCAACAACAAUGUUGUUUCUUAGUUCAUGCAGGAGGAUGCCAAUGUUGCCCACCAUCUCGGUUCCCGUUUCCUACUUUAAUGACUGUAGGUAGAGGAAUAUUUACUUGUUCUGAUAAGUAACUUUAAAUUUUACAUUCAAACACUCAAGAAAGGAAAGCUCACUCUUUCUCCUUUCUUUUAUUAUAUAAUUAUUCCCCCCAUUUAUACCUAAAUCCUUAAAAAUACAUAAUAAUACCAGCUCACUGACAAAUCAUUUUAUUGCAUGCUAAAAGCCAAUGGCUUUGUGGGGAGAGGUGUUAAGUAUGUGCUUUUCUAGAAAUGCAUUGUAUUAUAUAUUUUCAGUCUUUUGCUAAGAAACAUCAGAACCUUCUGAAGAGUUGGGGGCUCACCCCAUCCUGUAUAUGCUGUUCCCUACGGGCCUCAAGAGGCAGAGAUGCAGAGUUAGUGAAUAAUUUAAAGGCCAGGCUGUGUUCUCUAACAGCUAUUUUAAGAAACACAAGCAGGAAAGACAAGGUCUUAAGCCAAGGGCUUUCAGAAUGAGUGGUUUCUCCUUACUCCUCCCUAAGUUCUCUUCUCGCCACUUCCCAUCUCACAUCAUUUUGUAGUCAAGGAACAUACAAAUCCUAGGAGUGAAGACUUAUGAGAGCAAAACAUAUGAUUUAAAAAAAUGAAAAAAGAAAAUGAUGAUGUGGAGCUUGAGAGAUGGCUUGGCCACUAAGAGUACUGGCUGGCUUUGCAAAGGCCACAGGUCCGGUUCCCCACACUUAAAUAGGGGCUUGCAACUCUCUGUAACUCCAGUUCCAGGGCAUCCAGUGCCCUCUUCUGGCCUCUCCAGGUUCUACGCAUGAGUAUGGUGCACAGACAUAUGUGUAGACCAACACACUAAUGGAAUAAAAGCAUUUCUUUCAAGCAUGACUGACGUAUUUGUGUGACUGAUAUUUCUGUGUCUUUGUAGUGUGGGUGUGUGUAUGUAGAUUUAUUAGAGAUAUUUAUAACACAGGAAUCUGUUUCUGGCAUUCCAUCACUCAUGUUUACAUGUGCAGAAGGUUCUUAUGUGCACCUGGCACAAGUUACUAGUUAUUUUGUAUCUAUGUCCAUCUACCAAAUGAAGAAGGUAAAAAUGCCUGCUAUAUUAUUCAGACUUUUAGUCAGUAUGAUAAAUACAAAGAAAAAUAAUUUGAAGAAGGAAGGGUUUAUUUUGGCCGACAGUUUCAGAGUUUUCUGUCCAUCACGACACAGAGGUGCAGAACGUGACGUGGUGGUACAGAACAGCUUGCCUCAGAGUGAUCAGGCUGGAGGAAGGGGAAAGCUGUCAGUAGUCUACAGAAUGGCACCACCCACAUUCACAUCAGGGCCUUCCUUAAAGGAAAUGAAUCCUUUCUGGAAAUACUUCCACAGACACAUCCAGAAAUGCAUUUCACUAAUCUCCUAGGACUCCCUCAAUCCAGUCAAGCUGCCGAUCAAAAUCACCAUCAGACACACACUAGGGUCAGUUCAUAUAAAACCUUUAAAGGGUUUGGUGCUUUCUAAUUACUGCAUGAAUGUUAGUUAUGAUUGUUCUUAUUGUCUCUGCAAGAACUGAAAUCUUCAAAAUGACUUAUUUUCCUCAAUCAGGAAUGAUUGAGUAUUCAUUUUUUUAUCUCUUUUUAUUGUUCAGCGUAUCUUAGAUGCUCCAAGGUGUUUGUUCAUAGGGUAUGAUUUGAAUAAUACCUGGAAGAUUUUUGUCUUCAAAUAUACCAUGAUUUGUCAAGCUCCACAGAGGCAGCCAUUUUCCCUGUUCAGUUGUGCCCUGCUCAUCUUCAGUGAUACACAUGGUGACACAUUAGCAUGUGAUCUCCUUGGCAUUGUCUGGAUACUCCGUGUUUUCUUGAGUGGCUGAGGCCCAGACUGGGGACCCUGCUGCUACUCAAGGUAAACCCAGGAGGAAAGGGAAGGCUGAAAAGGACCAUGGGGCUGACAUGUUGCUUCUACUGGAGGGAAGGAAGGGGUGGACGGCUGGUUCCAGAAGUUUCCCUGGAUGUUGCAUCUGGAUUUAAGUUGUGUCAGGAGUUGAACAGUAUCUGUGGGAGGGGCAGAGACAGAAUCAAUAUGGUUUAUCUGAACAAGAUGUGACUGCGUUACACCUGAGUGUUUUUCCAGUAUCAACAGGACCUCGAAUCCUGGGUCCACAGAGCUCUGCAGGCAGAAUCUGUUUGAUAGCAAAGGAGAAAGGCAGAAAGGAAAUUGAAAAAAAAACCCACUAAAUGACAUCAGCUGUAAAAGCCUUCUGCCUCAGUGCUGUGAAUGAACAGAAAGCUGUUGCCUCAGCCUAGAAGCCUUUUCCUUCCAAUUUUAGAGGCAGAGUUAUAUUUAGUAUCAAAAAUCCUGUCAUUUAUAUCCAAUAAAACUAGUUUCUUAGAUUCAUAAAUGGCAACAUUUCUAGAUAGAAAAAAUGAAUUUUAACAAAGAACAAGUUUAUUGAAAGGUUAAUCAUAUUGUUAGAGAAAAAUAGGCCAAUCUUUACUGCAAAUGAAUAUUCUGGAGCUGAGAGUUACCGAAAGGAAGAUAGUUUCUCCUGAUUUUUAUUAUGAUUCAAUUUUACAGAAAACAACAUUCAAAGCUCAACUAGAAACAGUUGGGUUGUUUUCUUUUUUUCCUUUGUGUGUUACAUAUUUAGAGCAUUAUUUUAUAUUGGUAUUCAUGGUUACAAAUACAAGUGGUUUAAAAAUAUUUAUUCUUGUGUGUGUGUGUAUUAGUUUGCUUAUUAACUUAUUAGUUUGCUUAUUAACAAAACACCUACCAAAAGCAGCACAAGCAGGAAAGAUUCUAUUUCUUCUUACAACUCUCAGGGAACACUGCAUCACUGAGGAAAGUCAGGGCAGCAACUCAAGGCAGAAGCCUGAAAACAGAAACGGAAGCACAAACUAUGGCGGAGCAUUCCUUACUGCCUUGCUUCCUAUGGCUUACCCAUCUUGAUGUCUGAUAGAUCCCAGGACCACCUUCCCACAGUAAGCCGAGCCAUCCCACAUUAAUUAACCAUUAACCAGGAAAACACUCCACUCCACAGACUUGCUUAUAGCUAAACUGAUAAAGCCAUUUUCACAAUUAACAAUUAACAGUUAACACUUGGCAUGUAAGCAGUUGACAAAACCAACUAGCAGUGUAUACGUUUGUGUGUGUGUGUGUGUGUGUGUGUGCAUGUGUGUAUGUAUUUGCAUGUGUACAUGUAUGUGUGUGUGUCUGCAUGUGUCUGUGUGUUGUGAAUGCUGCUUUUGCACAGCACACUGUGUAAAUGGCGGUGUACAAAUUUUGCUCUCAGUCCUUGCCUUCUACUCUGUUUAUAGCUGCUUUACACACUCCAGGCUAAAUGGCCUGUAAGCUUCCUAGGAAUUCUCUUGUUUCUGACUAGCGUUUCAUUGACAGGGCGGCUGGGAUUCCAGACACAUCCAUACCAUUGUGUCUGGCAUUGCUCUGAGGACCUGAAUUCAGGGUGUCAGGCUUGUGAACUUUUCCCUACUGAACUAUCUUCUCAACCUCUGGAAUUUAAAAAACCAUUAAAUGAGUCAUUUCUCUAGUUUACUGGCAGAUCCAUAUAUCUGCUGUACUGGUAUACCAAUUAGUUUUUGUCAACUAUGCAAACUACAAUCAUCUGGGAAGAGAAAGCAUUAACUGACCAAUCAUUUCCAUCAGAUUAGCCUGUGGCCAUAGCUAUAGGCUAUCUGUGGGACAUUUUCUGAUUACUAAUUGGUGGCAUAGGGGUAGCCUAUUGUGGACAAUUCCAUCACUGAGCAGGUAGCCUGGGUUGUAUAAGAAGGGUAGAAACAAGCCAUUAAACUGUUUUCUUCUUUGGUCUCUGCUUAAGUUUCUGCCCUAGUCUCCCAUCCUAAUUCCUCCCUUGGUUACCCUUGAGUUUGAAUUGUUCUUGGUCAGUGUUGACAUCGCAGCAACAGAGAAGUAAAUUACAAUGCCCGCUUUAGCCUAAGUUGUCACGAUCUCUAUGUCAAAGACCUUAGAAUUGUGAGCGCACCCUAAAUGUCCAGUACCUGGCACUAAGUGGUUCCACAGUAGAACACAGUGCCCUCCGCUUCCUAGAAAUACUGCCUUUCUCUUCAUGGAGAGCCUUCGUGGUUAACACUUGUUCCUUUCGUCUAGGUCUCUUUCUCUCUGGAUGUGCCUGAGACCCUCAGAGCAGUUUAACAAUGAAUGUCAUAUGUUUGUAUAUGUCCUUCUACUGCCUCUCCGUAAGAUAAAAUGACUCAUUCUUGAAAGUUCAAAGCCUUACGAAAUCCGAAGUUAGCAAUGAUACAUAAGAAGGAGGACCCGCCCAGCAACAAUAGAAGGAGAAAUUGCCAAUUCAGGACAGGGCUUUACACUGUGCCAAAAGGUUACUUGCAUAAGGGGAUGGCACAAGGGGACUUAGAGAAAAGACCUAGCAUGAUGUGCUGAGAAGAAAGCAGUGUGGCUUCACCUUCUCCUGAGUUACUCAUCCCUGACUAAACAUAUUCCUCCCUGGCUGUGGAACCCUUGCUCUCGCGUCUGUCAAGUCCAGUUGACAACAGGGAAUUAGCAAUCCUGGCUGCCUUAAGCUCUGAUUCAGCAAUUCAGAGCCUGAGAGUCAGGAGAAAUAUGUUAGUUCACAGAUAAACUGUCCGGAAGAGGAGGCAGCUGAUGAAGACUAGCCCGUGAGAAGUGCUGAGUCCCAGGAUAACAUGAGGGGGAGGCAGAGUUGAAUUAAUGCAACACAAGGGUGACUUGAUGCAGUCAAUAGCACACGGAAAGCGGGUUGUGAUUCCCUGGGUUUUCUGACGAUGACUAUGUAGGAAGGCUUGACCUAGGGUUGUGUCAGGGAUUUGAUUUCCUACUUUUUUUUUUUUAACUUUUUAAUUAUCUUUAAUUUUUUUUUACAGUCCAGUUGAUAUCCCUCUCCCAGUCUACCCUCUGACAGUUCCUCAUCCUGUUCUUCCUUUCCUGUAUCCAAGUGGCUGUCCCUGCCCACCCACCCCCACCCCGCCAAGCCUCCUCUUUGAAGUAAUGUGGUCCGUCCCCAUGGUGCUGAAAUGAUGAACGGGGAUUAGGCGCAAUACCUCCACGUUUGUGUAAUCGCCUCAGUCUGUGUUCUUUUAAGUCCCUAUGCUAAUGUGCGGGCAUUGAUAGGAAUAAGUCUUUUGAUAUCCCUUGGCUUCUGAUGUUGUUAGAGUUGUAACACAAUUUUUAUACCUUCAAGGAAUGUGUAUAGAAGUAGAGGACGGCACCCUUCUUCACAGUCGCAUGCUAUGCUUUAGAUUCUUAUGUCCCCUGUGUUCAGCCUCAGGCUCCAUGACGGUGUUAUCCAUAGGUAUUUGGAAGGUGGGACCUGAUUCUCAGGCCAUAAAGGUUUUGGGUUCAACAGAGAUAGUAUGUCUCAGGUUUCGUUCUCUUCUUUUUCCCUUUGGCUUCAUAGCCAUGAGGCAACUGUUUCUCUUCUCUCCUGUGGAUUCUGCACGAAGCUUUGCCUCCCAGCAAAACAACAGGGUCAAUUGAUCUUAACCUGAAACCUCUGGAACAUGAACCUUUUCAUGAGUUGAUUAUACCCCGUGUUGUUAUAGUAAUGGAAAGAAAGCCAACACUCACGAUCUCUCUCCUUCUACCCUCUUGUUCGUUUAGUCUUAUCUGUAGUCAUCCAUCCAUUUGUGUAUGUGAGUAUUGUUGGGGUUUAAAUCUCAGCCCGCAUCCGGACAGAACACACCAAGCCAACAUGGUUCCACGCAGAGAGGUUUAAUGAGAGAAGAAGAGUAGGAGAGGGAGGAACAAAGUCCGGCCAUGAGCAUGUGGAAGGAAAAUGGGGCAUGGGGAGAGAAGGGACAAAAAGGAGAGGGCAAGAGAGCAGAGAAGAGAAGAGAACAACAAAGAAAAUGAGGAGGGGCAAGCAGCUCCUUAUACAGUGUCAGGCACAGUUGGCUGUUGCCAGGCAACUGUGGGGCGGAGCAUACCUGGCUAUUGCCAGGUAACUGUGGGGGUGGAGCUUAGACAGAAUACCAGCAAGUAUGGGUAUGGUGUGCUGGAUGUGUGUGUGUGUGUGUGUGUGUGUGUGUGUGUGUGUGUGUGUGUGUGUUGUAUAUGUUUAUGUCUGUGGUGUGCAUGUAUGUAUGUGGGCAAAUGUGUGCUGUCUGUGUGGUGUGGAUAUGCUUAUGAUGUGGGUACCUGUGGAAACCAGAGGUUGUUGAUGGUGUCUUCCCUCAUCGUUUUUCACCUGCCUAGCCAGCUUACCCUGGAGAGCCCUAUCUAUACGCAGCCCUGAUGUGGCACUGGGUAUCCAAAUUCCAUUACUUAUGGUUUCAUGUUCUGGAAGAUGAAAGUUUAAGAUCAAGAUGCUACUAUGGUUGGGUUCAAAGGAAGAACACUAUUGGCUGGCUGGACACUGCUGCUUCAUAUGGUUGAAUGCAAAUGACCUCUCAGAUUUCUUUUAUAAUAAAUGAAUCCCACUCAUAAA